RNAcentral lists this ribosomal RNA (708 nucleotides) under Xylaria sp. RNAcentral's name for it is "SSU rRNA". It matches the Rfam family "Eukaryotic small subunit ribosomal RNA", at positions 800 to 1532 of the family's 1831-position model. Lineage: Eukaryota; Fungi; Ascomycota; Sordariomycetes; Xylariales; Xylariaceae. The record is from RNAcentral.
AAGUAAACCCCNGGGUAAUGGAAUAGGACGUGUGGUUCUAUUUUGUUGGUUUCUAGGACCGCCGUAAUGAUUAUAGGGACAGUCGGGGGCAUCAGUAUUCAAUUGUCAGAGGUGAAAUUCUGGAUUUAUUGAAGACUAAUUACUGCGAAAGCAUUUGCCAAGGAUGUUUUCAUUAAUCAGGAACGAAAGUUAGGGGAUCGAAGACGAUCAGAAACCGUUGUAGUCUUAACCAUAAACUAUGCCGACUAGGGAUCGGACGAUGUUAUUUUUUGACUCGUUCGGCACCUUNCGAGAAAUCAACGUCUUNGGGUUCUGGGGGGAGCAUGGUCGCAAGGCUGAAACUUAAAGAAAUUGACGGAAGGGCACCACCAGGAGUGGACCGUGUGGNUUAAUUUGACUCAACACGGGGAAACUCACCAGGUCCAGACCCAAUGAGGAUUGACAGAUUGAGAGCUCUUUCUUGAUUUUGUGGGUGGUGGGGCAUGGCCGUUUUUAGUUGGAGGAUUGAUUGGUCUGUUUAAUUGCGAUAACGAACGAGACAUUUACCUGCUAAAUAGCCNUUAUUGCUUCGGCAGUACGCUGGCUUCUUAGAGGGACUAUCCGCUUAAGCGGGUGGAAGCUGGAUGCAAUAACAGGUCUGUGAUGCCAUUAGAUGUUUUGGGCCGCACGCGCGUUACACUGACAGAGACAGCGAGUACUUCCGUUAGU